Molecule: long non-coding RNA, 265 nt
Organism: Labrus mixtus (cuckoo wrasse)
Lineage: Eukaryota; Metazoa; Chordata; Actinopteri; Labriformes; Labridae
Exons: 3
Source: RefSeq, a predicted model, not a curated record
CAGGUAAGGACAUAUGAAUACAAGUAUGUACAGGUUUGAGUAGGUGUGUACAGGUAAGGAAAUGUGUGUCCAGCUGUGUACAGAUGUGGUGUGUAGAGGUACAGGGUGAACUGGUGUUAACUGGUAUGUUUGUACAGGUGUGUUCAGGUGUGUGUUCAGGUGUGUACAGGUGUGUUCCGCUGUGUUCAGGUGUGCAUGUGUGUUCAGUUGUGUACAGGUGUGUAUACAAGUGUGCAUGAGUGUGUUCAGGUGUGUACAUGUGUGU